Molecule: non-coding RNA, 170 nt
Filed under: Chlamydomonas euryale
Lineage: Eukaryota; Viridiplantae; Chlorophyta; Chlorophyceae; Chlamydomonadales; Chlamydomonadaceae
Source: RNAcentral
GGAAUGUGCGCUGUAUGCACGGGCCCAUCGCAGCAUGCCGAGGCCGUAUCCACGCGGAGGCAACUGUGUGUGUCGGUCGUUCCCUGACGGGGGCGGUCUCUGCACUUGAAGUAACCCACAACGGUUCAGGCUGUAACCAGAGCAGACUUAGGGUUCGCAGCUGUCGGCCG